AGCGGCGGACGGGUGAGUAACACGUGGGUAACCUGCCCAUAAGACUGGGAUAACUCCGGGAAACCGGGGCUAAUACCGGAUAACAUUUUGCGCUGCAUGGUGCGAAAUUGAAAGGCGGCUUCGGCUGUCACUUAUGGAUGGACCCGCGUCGCAUUAGCUAGUUGGUGAGGUAACGGCUCACCAAGGCAACGAUGCGUAGCCGACCUGAGAGGGUGAUCGGCCACACUGGGACUGAGACACGGCCCAGACUCCUACGGGAGGCAGCAGUAGGGAAUCUUCCGCAAUGGACGAAAGUCUGACGGAGCAACGCCGCGUGAGUGAUGAAGGCUUUCGGGUCGUAAAACUCUGUUGUUAGGGAAGAACAAGUGCUAGUUGAAUAAGCUGGCACCUUGACGGUACCUAACCAGAAAGCCACGGCUAACUACGUGCCAGCAGCCGCGGUAAUACGUAGGUGGCAAGCGUUAUCCGGAAUUAUUGGGCGUAAAGCGCGCGCAGGUGGUUUCUUAAGUCUGAUGUGAGAGCCCACGGCUCAACCGUGGAGGGUCAUUGGAAACUGGGAGACUUGAGUGCAGAAGAGGAAAGUGGAAUUCCAUGUGUAGCGGUGAAAUGCGUACAGAUAUGGAGGAACACCACUGGCGAAAGCGACUUUUCUGGUCUGUAACUGACACUGAGGCGCCACAACGUGUGGAGCAGACACGAUGACAUACCCUGAUAGUCCACGCCGCAUACGACGAGUGCUACCUGCUAGAUGGUUGCCACCCUCUAGUGCUGAAGUGAAUUCACUCAUUCACUCUCCCGCCGGAGUACUGCCGCUUUGCAGAGGCUCACCCGAAGUGGACUGCGGGCGCUUCACAGUAGAGUCAAGAAGACUUCAUCCAAUGCAAUUCGACGACAUACCGAGCAUGACUCGACUUCUACAUAACCUAGCUUGCGCUCAUUCGAGCAGUGAUGAUGUACGUC
Molecule: ribosomal RNA, 960 nt
Filed under: Bacillus sp. (in: firmicutes)
Lineage: Bacteria; Bacillati; Bacillota; Bacilli; Caryophanales; Bacillaceae
Description: bacterial SSU rRNA
Rfam family: Bacterial small subunit ribosomal RNA (bases 1-800)
Source: RNAcentral